Non-coding RNA from Pelobates cultripes (western spadefoot toad), 273 nucleotides. The record is from the annotation of a GenBank genome assembly. NCBI's taxonomy places the organism in Eukaryota, Metazoa, Chordata, Amphibia, Anura, Pelobatidae.
CUCAGAUCUUUUUGCUUGCCCACUUUUACUUAUUCCAACAUAUGGAAUUCAAGGACUGAUUGUUCAUUUGCUGCCUAAUGUGGCAAAGAUGCCUCUGCCACGUGUUCUUGGAGGAGCCUGCUGGCUAGCCUCCUUCCCAAAGACUGUGGGCCAUGUAAAAAGACAUGUUAAAAGUUAACUUCCAUGGAAAAUCUGAACCAUUGAACCGAUCUGAGUGAUUUUUGGAUAUGAUGGUCACUCAGAUCAGGGCUAUCCGGGGAUGUGACUCAUUAU